Molecule: ribosomal RNA, 274 nt
Filed under: uncultured bacterium
Lineage: Bacteria
Description: partial 16S ribosomal RNA
Rfam family: Bacterial small subunit ribosomal RNA
Source: RNAcentral
AUACAGAGGGUGCGAGCGUUAAGCGGAAUUACUGGGCGUAAAGCGCGCGUAGGCGGCUUAUUAAGUCAGAUGUGAAAUCCCCGGGCUCAACCUGGGAACUGCAUCUGAUACUGGUAAGCUAGAGUUUUGGAGAGGGAAGUAGAAUUUCAGGUGUAGCGGUGAAAUGCAUAGAGAUCUGAAGGAAUACCAGUGGCGAAGGCGACUUCCUGGCCAAAAACUGACGCUGAGGUGCGAAAGCGUGGGUAGCAAACGGGAUUAGAAACCCGAGUAGUCC